AGCAGCCGCGGUAAUUCCAGCUCCAAUAGCGUAUAUUAAAGUUGUUGCAGUUAAAAAGCUCGUAGUUGAAUUUCGGAAUCAGUAUGUUGGUCGUGCUUCGGUACGUACUGUCAUUACUGGUUUCUACCUUCUGAAGAACCUUGAUGUCAUUAAUUUGGUGUCUUGGGGAAUCAGGACUGUUACUUUGAAAAAAUUAGAGUGUUUAAAGCAAGCAUACGCUUGAAUACAUUAGCAUGGAAUAAUGAAAUAGGACGUUUGAUUCUAUUUUGUUGGUUUCUAGGAUCGACGUAAUGAUUAAUAGGGAUAGUUGGGGGGCAUUAGUAUUCAAUUGUCAGAGGUGAAAUUCUUGGAUUUAUUGAAGACUAACUACUGCGAAAGCAUUUGCCAAGGAUGUUUUCAUUAAUCAAGAACGAAAGUUAGGGGAUCGAAGACGAUCAGAUACCGUCGUAGUCUUAACCAUAAACUAUGCCGACUAGGGAUCGGAUGAUGUUAAUUUUUUUAAUGACUCAUUCGGCGCCUU
Molecule: unclassified non-coding RNA, 520 nt
Filed under: uncultured Glomus
Lineage: Eukaryota; Fungi; Glomeromycota; Glomeromycetes; Glomerales; Glomeraceae
Description: SSU rRNA
Rfam family: Eukaryotic small subunit ribosomal RNA
Source: RNAcentral